UUCUACAGUGGUAUCAGACCCUCUUUGUAUAAUAUUGAAAUAAUUUAGAUAAACAAUCUGUGUAUUAAGAUAUACAUGUGUGUUUAGGACUGUUAAUUAGUUUGUUUGAUUUUGUCAAAUCUGAUUAGUAUAAUUGAAAGAAUGUGUUCGUUGUCAGUAAACGUGUAUAAUAGUAUGUACGGUUUCGUUGAUAGCAACUUGUUAAUUGCAUUUGUUUAACAAAUAUCUUAUUGACCUAUGAUGUCGCGUAAUGCAAAUAUGUGACAUGAAGUUUUAUGUGCAUCUAGUAAUGAUUGAACUUGAUAUGUGCAUGUUAAUAAAAAAACCUAAUUUGAUUACGGUUCUAAAACGUUAAUUUUUAUAUAAGAUAAAAUAAGAGCAUGAGUUAUAUGUUAGGAUUAUUGACUUUUGGAAAGUCGAGAAUAUAAUAAUAUAUGUUAAUAGAGAUAUUAUACGGCUGAUAUGAUCAUCCGCUAGAUAUGCGAUUAAUAUAUAUAUA
This 499-nucleotide long non-coding RNA is filed under the name Brassica napus (rape). Its description in RNAcentral is "long non-coding RNA (BNAP_LNC012468)". The record is from RNAcentral. Lineage: Eukaryota; Viridiplantae; Streptophyta; Magnoliopsida; Brassicales; Brassicaceae.